Non-coding RNA from Potamilus streckersoni, 83 nucleotides. The record is from the annotation of a GenBank genome assembly. Lineage: Eukaryota; Metazoa; Mollusca; Bivalvia; Unionida; Unionidae.
UGAUUGACCGCUCCAUUGGCCUAGUGGUUAGAGCAUCAGCCUCGGAUGCGUGAGGUCGCGGGUUCGAAUCCCGACCGAGUCAU